CAAGGUUCCGUAGGUGAACCUGCGGAAGGAUCAUUAUUGAAUACGAUUGGUACUGAUGCUGGCCCUUCACUGGGCAUGUGCUCGUCCAUCUAUUUAUCUUCUCUUGUGCACAUCUUGUAGUCUUGGAUGAACCCUUGCGCAUUCGUGCGGUCUGGGAGUUGCGAAUUAAAACCUUGCUUCUCCUGCUUGUCCAAGGCUAUGUUUUCAUAUACACUAUAAAGUUACAGAAUGUCAAUUAACGACUUGUGCUUGUCACGGUCAUUAAACCUAUACAACUUUCAGCAACGGAUCUCUUGGCUCUCCUAUCGAUGAAGAACGCAGCGAAAUGCGAUAAGUAAUGUGAAUUGCAGAAUUCAGUGAAUCAUCGAAUCUUUGAACGCACCUUGCGCCCUUUGGUAUUCCGAAGGGCAUGCCUGUUUGAGUGUCAUUAAAUUAUCAACCUUGCUCGCUUUUACCGGCUUGAGUUAGGCUUGGAUGUGAGGGUCUUUGCUGGCUUCCUUCAGUGGAUGGUCUGCUCCCUUUAAAUGCAUUAGUGGGAUCUCUUGUGGACCGUCACUUGGUGUGAUAAUUAUCUAUGCCAUCUUGACUUUGAAGCAAACUAAUGGGAACCUGCUCAUAACCGUCCUUUCAGGACAACUCUUGACAUUUUGACCUCAAAUCAGGUAGGACUACCCGCUGAACUUAAGCAUAUCAAUAAGCGGAGGAAAAGAAACUAACAAGGAUUCCCCUAGUAACUGCGAGUGAAGCGGGAAAAGCUCAAAUUUAAAAUCUGGCGGUCCCUGUGGCCGUCCGA
RNAcentral lists this ribosomal RNA (793 nucleotides) under Mycena citrinomarginata. Its description in RNAcentral is "eukaryotic LSU rRNA". The stretch from base 274 to 427 matches the Rfam family "5.8S ribosomal RNA". Lineage: Eukaryota; Fungi; Basidiomycota; Agaricomycetes; Agaricales; Mycenaceae. The record is from RNAcentral.